CGUCCACCUCCUCCAAGACCUAGCCGCCUCCUCGACUACCCUCCUCCGCCGCCGCCACCACCGCCGCCCACCCUUCGCGGCUGCCGAGCGCCCUCCACCACAUCCCUGUGCCAGAUCCAUCCCAGACCAUGCCGCCGACCACCGUCCACCACACCCCAGCGCCAACUCCCUCACCGACCACGACGCCGAGCACCCUCCGCUGCCCUGACCACGAUUCGCCACACACCAGCAACCCCAAGCAGCCAAGCCUCCUCCAUGUGUUCUCCCCUGGAAUCACCCCCACCAGCUCUGCCGCUUCCAAAAGCUCCUCCCUCGAGCAGCGCCGCCGCUUCCAGGAGCUCCUGCCCGACCAACGUUGAUGUUCCAGAAGCUCCUUACCCAAGCAGCGCCUCCUUCUCUAGGAGCCUCAGCGCUACCUCGUCGUCCUCUCCCCCAAGCAGAUGCCUGUCCUGCAUUCUUUUCCCUGAGUAGGUCUCGGCUACCUCCGCAGCCCAACCAAUGAGAUUUCUCCGUGUCUUGUGAGUUUGAUUAGUCUCAUCUCUGUGAUUUGUGAGGUAUGGUUUGUGCACAGAACAACUGCUAUAGUUUUGAAAAUUUCUUGAAUUGUUACUUUGUUAGAUAGAAACUACUCCAAAAUAGAGUUUAAAGAAAUGAGAUUCAGACAUUAGACUCCAAAUGAAGUGAUGGUUUAAUUGAAUGAUUAGGUAGAAAAUACUCAUUGGAGCAACAGUACCAGCUGAUAUGGUCGUGUUCUGAAAGUAGACCAUAACCAUACGUGUAGGCUUUUCAUAAUCCAAUAUUUUACCUGCAGCUGAGGAUUUAUGUGGAAUACAGAUUACUCUAUACUUUUAUGACCAACUCGUUAUUGUUACUCACAGCCUUUUCAGUUCAGGCUAGAACAAGAAAGCCAAAGUGUCAUGUUUUGCCCCUAAAUUUCAUUUUGCAUAGUCAAUAAAUUAGAAAUGGCUAGUACGGUAAUACCUUUAAUAACAGGAAUGUGAAUUUUGUAAGCUAGCUAGGCCAUACAUGCACUUCCAUCUCUGUCAUACAAGUUGGGCAAACUUUGUGUUUGGAUAUGUACUGCACUAAUUGAUACAGGUAAUUAUAUUCUUGAUGCUACACGAGGUUUGUCUCCUUUUAUCGCCUGCUAAUUGAUGAUUGGUGAUUAUAGUAGGGCAUGGAUGCUGAUUUAUUUAUUUUUUGCUAAGAGUUUGUAUCAUGUGCCUUUCUGUUCUCAUAGUGAAAUGACAAUGGUGCCAAUAUGGUAUAAGAAUUAUGAUGCUUUAAAUGCUGAUAGGGUCAUUUACGUCCUCUGAUUCGUUGCCCGAGCAGAUCUACAGCAUCCUCUACUUCUUAACUGAUGGUGACAUUUCUUUGCUAUUCCUACAAUAUAGAUAAAUGAUAUUCUACUAUUAGUUUUCCAUUUCCUGAAACGACACCUUUCAGUUCACUAUUCUGCUGUGCUAGAUUGCAUUCCUUGUCGGUAUUGUAUUUCUUGUUGCUUGUAGCAGAUACGACUGGUAUGCAUUUUGUUAUUAUUUUUUUCUUUAAUAGAAGGCAAGCUGGGGACUGGUCCAUUUGCAAAAGCAGCAAUGCAACCACAAGCAAGCUGAGGAGGUGCCUCAAAGAUACACAAGUUGAUCUACAGGCUGCCCUGAAGAUUUGGGAGACCUACGACUAAGUUGGUGGAGUGAAAUUGUAAUAAGCCUUAUUUGUUUAACCUGGAGAUAUUGGCACGUUUUACGCUCAUUUUGUUUUUUGUUUUGGCACAUAAGUCACAAGUUUUACUCUCAUUUUGAUUGUGUUGCACAUCCAGAAACAUAUGUUCUUUUCCUUUUUGUUGCACGUCCUUGUAUAUUGUUGUCUCAUGAAUGUAUCAAAGGAAAAUACAUAUUUU
Molecule: ribosomal RNA, 1897 nt
Filed under: Triticum aestivum (bread wheat)
Lineage: Eukaryota; Viridiplantae; Streptophyta; Magnoliopsida; Poales; Poaceae
Description: partial small subunit ribosomal RNA
Source: RNAcentral